CAAUAGCGUAUAUUAACGUUGUUGCAGUUAAAAAGCUCGUAGUUGGAUUUCUGGAGGGAGCGUCGGCCCGUAUUUACGAGUGCGUGACGUCUCUGUCCAUCCUUGCGGGAAGGCACGGCACUAAUUUGUUGUGUCGGAUCGCAUCAUUUACUGUGAAAAAAUUAGAGUGUUCAAAGCAGGCUUUCGCUUGAAUACAUUAGCAUGGAAUAAUAAGAUAGGACUUUGGUGCUAUUUUGUUGGUUGAGCCUAAAGUAAUGAUUAAUAGGGAUAGUUGGGGGCACCUGUAUUGCGUUGUCAGAGGUGAAAUUCUUGGAUUUACGCAAGACAAACAGCUGCGAAAGCGUCUGCCAAGGAUGUUUUCAUUAA
This 366-nucleotide ribosomal RNA is filed under the name uncultured eukaryote. Its description in RNAcentral is "partial 18S ribosomal RNA". It matches the Rfam family "Eukaryotic small subunit ribosomal RNA", at positions 592 to 976 of the family's 1831-position model. The record is from RNAcentral.